GCUCGCGUAGCUCAACUGGCAGAGCAGGGGACUCUUAAUCCCAAGGUUCAGGGUUCGACUCCCUGCGCGAGCA
Molecule: transfer RNA, 73 nt
Filed under: soil metagenome
Rfam family: tRNA
About the family: Transfer RNA (tRNA) molecules are approximately 80 nucleotides in length. Their secondary structure includes four short double-helical elements and three loops (D, anti-codon, and T loops).
Source: RNAcentral